This 622-nucleotide ribosomal RNA is filed under the name Streptomyces griseus subsp. griseus. RNAcentral describes it as "partial 23S ribosomal RNA". It matches the Rfam family "Bacterial large subunit ribosomal RNA", at positions 590 to 1210 of the family's 2925-position model. Lineage: Bacteria; Bacillati; Actinomycetota; Actinomycetes; Kitasatosporales; Streptomycetaceae. The record is from RNAcentral.
GUCGUGACUGCGUGCCUUUUGAAGAAUGAGCCUGCGAGUUAGCGGUGUGUAGCGAGGUUAACCCGUGUGGGGAAGCCGUAGCGAAAGCGAGUCCGAACAGGGCGGUUGAGUUGCACGCUCUAGACCCGAAGCGGAGUGAUCUAGCCAUGGGCAGGUUGAAGCGGAGGUAAGACUUCGUGGAGGACCGAACCCACCAGGGUUGAAAACCUGGGGGAUGACCUGUGGUUAGGGGUGAAAGGCCAAUCAAACUCCGUGAUAGCUGGUUCUCCCCGAAAUGCAUUUAGGUGCAGCGUCGUGUGUUUCUUGCCGGAGGUAGAGCACUGGAUAGGCGAUGGGCCCUACCGGGUUACUGACCUUAGCCAAACUCCGAAUGCCGGUAAGUGAGAGCGCGGCAGUGAGACUGUGGGGGAUAAGCUCCAUGGUCGAGAGGGAAACAGCCCAGAGCAUCGACUAAGGCCCCUAAGCGUACGCUAAGUGGGAAAGGAUGUGGAGUCGCAGAGACAACCAGGAGGUUGGCUUAGAAGCAGCCACCCUUGAAAGAGUGCGUAAUAGCUCACUGGUCAAGUGAUUCCGCGCCGACAAUGUAGCGGGGCUCAAGCGUACCGCCGAAGUCGUGUCAUUC